CCUACGGGAGGCAGCAGUGGGGAAUCUUGCACAAUGGGGGAAACCCUGAUGCAGCGACGCCGCGUGAGUGAAGAAGGAUUUCGGUAUGUAAAGCUCUAUCAGCAGGGAAGAAAAAAGACGGUACCUGACUCAGAAGCUACGUCUAACUACGUGCCAGCAGCCGCGGUAAUACGUAGGGGGCAAGCGUUAUCCGGAUUUACUGGGUGUAAAGGGAGCGUAGACGGCUGUGCAAGUCUGAAGUGAAAGCCCAGGGCUCAACCCUGGUACUGCUUUGGAAACUGUGGAGCUAGAGUGCUGGCAGGGUAAGUGGAAUUCCUGGUGUAGCGGUGAAAUGCGUAGAUAUUAGGAGGAACACCAGUGGCGAAGGCAGGUUACUGGACAGUAACUGACGUUGAGGCUCGAAAGCGUGGGGAGCAAACAGGAUUAGAUACCCGAGUAGUC
Molecule: ribosomal RNA, 441 nt
Filed under: uncultured bacterium
Lineage: Bacteria
Description: partial 16S ribosomal RNA
Rfam family: Bacterial small subunit ribosomal RNA
Source: RNAcentral